This 253-nucleotide ribosomal RNA is filed under the name uncultured bacterium. RNAcentral's name for it is "partial 16S ribosomal RNA". It matches the Rfam family "Bacterial small subunit ribosomal RNA", at positions 524 to 776 of the family's 1533-position model. The record is from RNAcentral.
UACGAAGGGGGUUAGCGUUGUUCGGAAUUACUGGGCGUAAAGCGUGCGCAGGCGGCUUCUCAAGUCAGGGGUGAAAGCCCAGAGCUCAACUCUGGAAUUGCCUUUGAGACUGAGUGGCUUGAGUACGAGAGAGGUGAGUGGAAUUCCCAGUGUAGAGGUGAAAUUCGUAGAUAUUGGGAAGAACACCGGUGGCGAAGGCGGCUCACUGGCUCGUAACUGACGCUCAUGCACGACAGCGUGGGGAUCAAACAGG